AGUGAACGCUGGCGGUAGGCCUAACACAUGCCAGUCGAACGGCAGCACAGUAAGAGCUUGCUCUUACGGGUGGCGAGUGGCGGACGGGUGCGGAAUACAUCGGAAUCUACUUUUUAGUGGGGGAUAACGUAGGGAAACUUACGCUAAUACCGCAUAAGACCUACGGAUGAAAACAGGGAAUCUUCGCACCUCGCGCAAAUGACUGAGCCGAUGUCGGAUUGUCUAGUUGGCUGGGUAAAGGCCUAACAAGGCGACUAUCCGAAGCUGGUCUGAGUGGAAGGACAGCUAGACUGGAUGUGAGACACGGUCCAGACACUGACAGGGGGCAGCAGUGGGGAAUAUUGGACAAGGGGCGCAAGCCGGAUCCAGCCAUACCGCGUGGGUGAAGAAGGACUUCGGGUGGUAAAGCCAUGUUGUUGGGAAAGAAAAGCAGCAGUUUAAUACCCCGCUGUUCUGACGGUACCAAAAGAAUAAGCACCGGCUAACUUCGUG
This 492-nucleotide ribosomal RNA is filed under the name uncultured bacterium. RNAcentral describes it as "partial 16S ribosomal RNA". It matches the Rfam family "Bacterial small subunit ribosomal RNA", at positions 29 to 507 of the family's 1533-position model. The record is from RNAcentral.